GAAUAAUAAAUUACAAUAAAACUGUAACAUGAUGAUACAUCCCAAAGUUAUAAAAAUUUAAAAGAGCCUUAAAACACACAAACUUGAACUAUAUACCUUGAUAACAAAUUUCACCUAUCGAGAUGAAAGACGCAUAAAAUUCGACGGAGCAUCACCAAAAAUAUUGAAUUUAACUUGAAAAUUGAUUUACUUUCUAAAUAUCAAACAUCCGCAUAUUUAGUCGACAAUUGGCAUCUUUUCCAUGCGUCAAUCAAAAUGACAAACUUACUUCUCGUGGUUAACUGAAAUUAUUGUUGAUUUCGUGCGUAAUAUAUCUGCUACCUACCAUAAUAAUAUGUAAAAUAUAUCUACUCAAAUAAACCGCCCAGGAAUUUGUCACACCAUCUGUAAAAGAAGAAAACUCACAUUAUGCAUAUGAAGAUUUACGGAAAAAAUAACAAAGAAACAAAAAACAAAAACAAAAACAAAACCUAAAUAAAAAAUACCAUAAUACUCCAGUCAGUAGACCUUUUUACCUCUACUAAGCACCUUCAUAUGUGAAAUUUGAAAUUCUUGUUGAACUCGUGCAUGAUAGAAUCAAAUGGCGAACAUCAGAUGAUGAGAAUCGUGAUAAAAUACAAAAAAAAUAAUGCUAAACUUGGCUUGCGAUUGCAAGCUUAAUCUCAUCUGAAACUCAAAUAAAACACUCAGAAUUUUUUGUAAUCUCAUCUCAUAUCACCAAAGUUUUGGGCUUGUCGAUUCACAAUCUCCGGUAGAACCUUGGCUUGCAAGCUUCCAAAAACGUGAAGAGAAUUCUUUGUCAUGUAAAAAAUGGGAACAACUUAUCAGUUAUACUUACCAAACAAUGCAAAUCUGAUAUUAUGCAAUAAAUAAUAUUUCAACUCCCCAAGAGAAUAUAAAUAAAUAUAUAGGAAAUAUAAAAGCAAGUGAUUUUUCCUCUCUAAUUUCAUCUCGUGAGGAUACAUUAUCUUCAUCAUCAUCAAGAAGCACUCCACAUUCCUCUUUGUUUAUCCUCUCAACUUCAUCCUCCAUACUUUGCAAGGAAACAUAAUAUUAUAGAUCCACACUAUGUUACUUAGUAUUUAAUCUAAAUUUUCUAGGAACAACAAAAACGUUGAUUAAAAUAAAGAUGUUAAUAACAGAAAUUUCUUAUGUUCUCGCUGAUUAAGUACAUCAUCAUGAUAAUGGUGCUUAACCGUCUUGAGAAUGGCAAUAUGACCAUCUCACCUUGGGCUUUGCAAGAUGUAUGCAGCUACAUAUCUGGUACACCUUCUCGCCAUUAUAUUUUGGAAUAACGUUCAAAGAAGAGGUUUCGGAAUCAAACUUAAAUUCUGCACAUAAAAAAAAAAAAUCAAUGGAAUCAAAUCUCCAAUAAACAUGGAAUGGACAAAUUAAAGAAAAAAACAUAGUGAAUAAAUUUCAGCACAAGUAUGAAAUCAAUUAAACAACAGUGGAAAUAUCUAUUAUUUUUCACCCAAUCCCUCAUUCCAUAGUGAUUUCUUUGUUUUUUUUAAUUUUUUUUUUUAUUAACAAUUGGAUAUCAACAGAAUUACAGAAAACCCACAAUAAAAAAAUUAUCAUGCAAAAAAAUAGACAGGCUGCAAAAGUGCAAUACAUUUAUAGGCGCAUUACCGCUUACCGAAAAACGAAAACAAUUUCCUCUAAUUAUAUGCUCUAACAGAGAGCAACAAAAGGAUCCUCAAAAAACUCUUACAGGGUGCACAAAUAACAACAACAACAAUAUAUAUAUAUAUAUUAUAUAUAUAUAUAUGUAUAUAUAUAUAUAUAUAUACACAUAUAUAUAUACAAAAAAUCAGCCAAGAAACCUGGUAGCUCAACAAAGUCAUCGUGCUUAAAAUCAAUAAAAAACCAAUAAUUCAGUGCAUAAAUCAGAAGGGAAAAGAAGAAGAACUAAAUACCUUGUUGCGUCCCUUGGCCUUUCAGUGGAGCAGGGAUUUUUUUUCUUUUUCAAGCCAUCAAUCGAUUUCGCGGGUUGUGGAAGAAAAUGAGACAGAAACUUGUAGUUUUCAAUUUUUAGAUCGUGUC
Molecule: long non-coding RNA, 2046 nt
Filed under: Erythranthe guttata (spotted monkey flower)
Lineage: Eukaryota; Viridiplantae; Streptophyta; Magnoliopsida; Lamiales; Phrymaceae
Description: long non-coding RNA (EGUT_LNC002758)
Source: RNAcentral